Molecule: ribosomal RNA, 377 nt
Filed under: uncultured eukaryote
Lineage: Eukaryota
Description: partial 18S ribosomal RNA
Rfam family: Eukaryotic small subunit ribosomal RNA
Source: RNAcentral
CAAUAGCGUAUAUUUAAGUUGUUGCAGUUAAAAAGCUCGUAGUUGGAUUUCGGGUGGGACGCAGCGGUCUCGCAUUGCGUUUGUACUGCUGCAGCCCUCCUUCUUGCCGGGGGCGGCCUCUCGGACUUCACUGUCUGGGGGUCAGAAUCGGCGAUGUUACUUUGAGUAAAUUAGAGUGUUCAAAGCAAGCUUACGCUCUGAAUAUAAUAGCAUGGGAUAACACGACAGGACUCUGGCCUAUCGUGUUGGUCUAUAGGACCAGAGUAAUGAUUAAGAGGGACAGUCGGGGGCAUUCGUAUUCCUUUGUCAGAGGUGAAAUUCUUGGAUUUACGGAAGACGAACAUCUGCGAAAGCAUUUGCCAAGGAUGUUUUCAUUG